Molecule: long non-coding RNA, 530 nt
Organism: Medicago truncatula (barrel medic)
Lineage: Eukaryota; Viridiplantae; Streptophyta; Magnoliopsida; Fabales; Fabaceae
Exons: 2
Source: RefSeq, a predicted model, not a curated record
GGAUAAAAACCAAACACAUUUAUGUGCUUAAGGGAUAUUGCAUAAUAGUUUCAAUUCAUUUGUUACAUGCAAAGAAUGAGAAGUAUGGAUAAAACUAUCAAGUUUACAUAUGUUAUGAUUAUCUUUGUUUACUUAUUUCUUAUUGCAACAAAUGUUGAAGCAUAUAAAAAUAGAUGUUUUAGAGAUUCCGAUUGUCCCAAAGAAAUGUGUAACCAUCCUAAGAUACCAAAGUGUGUGAACAACGCCUAUUGCAAAUGUGUUGUGGCAAUGUAUUUUCCUCCCAAAUGAUUAUGUAUUUAGUGGCAUUCUUGGGAGAGUAUACAAAUGUAUUGCUAGAAUAUUUCAUGAGUUAUCGUUUAGUUAUUCUGUUGGCUCUCGCUAAUUUAUGUGAUUUCCUUUAUCGAAUAUCAAUAUCUUUGUAGUUAUGACUUUGUACAAUAAGAUGAUGAUUGUAAUGAAAUCAAAUUUGUAAAAUAAGGUGAUUAAAUAAGGUGAGUUUGCCUAUUCAAGCAAAUAAAACAUUUUUAAUA